CCUACGGGCGGCAGCAGUGAGGAAUAUUGGUCAAUGGACGAGAGUCUGAACCAGCCAAGUAGCGUGAAGGAUGACUGCCCUAUGGGUUGUAAACUUCUUUUAUAAAGGAAUAAAACGAGGCACGUGUCCCUUUUUGCAUGUACUUUAUGAAUAAGGAUCAGCUAACUCCGUGCCAGCAGCCGCGGUAAUACGGAGGAUCCGAGCGUUAUCCGGAUUUCGUGGGUUUAAAGGGAGCGUAGAUGGGUUGUUAAGUCAGUUGUGAAAGUUUGCGGCUCAACCGUAAAAUUGCAAUUGAUACUGGCAGUCUUGAGUACAGUUGAGGUAGGCGGAAUGCGUGGUGUAGCGGUGAAAUGCUUAGAUAUCACGAAGAACCCCGAUUGCGAAGGCAGCUUACUAAACUGUGACUGACAUUGAUGCUCGAAAGUGUGGGUAUCAAACAGGAUUAGAUACCCCAGUAGUC
RNAcentral lists this ribosomal RNA (460 nucleotides) under uncultured bacterium. RNAcentral describes it as "partial 16S ribosomal RNA". It matches the Rfam family "Bacterial small subunit ribosomal RNA", at positions 338 to 795 of the family's 1533-position model. The record is from RNAcentral.